RNAcentral lists this ribosomal RNA (333 nucleotides) under Triticum aestivum (bread wheat). Its description in RNAcentral is "partial small subunit ribosomal RNA". The record is from RNAcentral. Lineage: Eukaryota; Viridiplantae; Streptophyta; Magnoliopsida; Poales; Poaceae.
CUGAGGAAAUUCGGCAUGCAAGAUUGCAAAGGGGUCAAAAUUCCAAUGCCCACAAAUGGCCAUCUAUGCACUGAUGAAAAUGGUAUUGACUUCGAUCAAAAGGUAUACCGCUCCAUGAUUGGCUCUUUAUUGUAUUUAUGUGCAUCUAGGCCAGACAUUAUGCUUAGUGUUUGCAUGUGCGCCCGAUUUCAAGCUACAUCGAAGGAAUCACACCAUAAGGCUGUGAAGCAUAUUCUUCGAUAUCUAGCUCACACACCAACACUUGGAUUAUGGUAUCCAAGGGCUCGGCUUUUGAUCUCAUUGGAUAUUCAGACUCUGACUAUGCUGGUGAUC